GGGGCUUUAGAAGCGGAAGUAUAAGGGGAAUUCAGGUCGUCAUUGGUUGUCGAAGGGGCUGAGGAGUCGGGGUCAAUCUCUUCCCCCUUUUCGUCUUCAUCAUCAAAGCCCUCCUCUUCCAAAUUGGUAAUUAGCCCCUGCAUGUCAGGGGAAGGAAGUCCAAGCAGUACCCAAAGCUCUCUUGCCUCGACCUUAAGCUGAGAAAGCACGAGAGGAAUAUCUGGUUCGCCGAUAUGUGCCUCAUGAAGGGUGUUAAGGCGAGUCUCCACAAUUUUCCAGGCCCGGUCGAUGACCAUUCUCUUCUGUAAGUUGACGAAGGCCUCUUGAGCAGACUCCUGAUCUCGGUUAUUGGCUUAGGCCCUCUCCUCAAUUGCUUCCCACUUGGAUCGUAGGCCCUGAACCUCGGCCUCUAACCGAAAGCAAUCUUUCCUCGGUCUCACUUUCGUGCUUGUCUUCAAAGCCAGCUCCCCUUCGAGGGUCGAAAUUAUAUCGGAAGUCCUAGAUCACUCAACCCGGAGGUAGGCUCGCUGGCCAAAAAUUCUUGCAUCCUUUGAUUGGCACUUCUUUCUGUGGCUUCUGUCCGCUCCUAAAGGGCCUCUUUCCCAGCUCUAAGCUCCUCGACCUCCUUCUAGAGCUUCUCAUUUUCAACCUUCAAUAGCUUAUCAUACCUCACUACCUCCUUGUCCAUGGCCAGAUCAAACCGAACCUUUUUUAGAGCCCCCGAGGAGAGGGCAACAAGCUGUUUAAAAAGAUAUAGAAGGAAAGAGGCCGAUAACUCCAACAAUGCGAGUAAAAAAAGAAAACUAACCAUAAUGUACUUUACCUUGGCGGCUUCAUGGGUUAUCUGAAUCACUAGCGCCUAAGCAUUCAAAGACUCCAUCUGAGCAUACUCAUGCUGAUUCAACAACUUGGGGAGUUGUACAAUCAUAGGCCAGGGAUCCGUGAAGAUGUCGGCACUCCCGGGUAGGGAGAGACUAAUAAACCUUUGGUCAUCAAUGGUUGGGCGUGACGAACUACCCGGAGCCUGAACUUGCACCUCUGAAGCAUCUCUCGAGGGCACCCUCUCAUCCGUAGGCGGCUCUACGUGGGAAGGUCGACCUUCAAGGUUAGGGGGUAGAGUGCAUCAACCCUCCUUACCUCAAUUUGGCCAGGUUGCCCGACUAUCAAUCUUUAUUUUGGGAUCAACUCUGCCACCUCCUUAGGCCUUAAGUCCAUGGGAUGAGGGGCCUCUUCAUAAGAUUCGACCAUGAUGGGCUCGGAUAGGACCGACUUUUCCUCUUCAACCCUAGGGAGAGUCGUUCUUCUCAUAGAAACCCGCACCCUUCAGGGAACAACGAGGAGGGGAAGUUCUGAGGAAGGACCGGCAUUAUCUCCUCGCGACACUUCGGAAAGUAGCCUAGUGGCAUCAGCGACAUAUGGAAGAUCUGUUGGGGCUUGUAGUUGAAAGGGGACUACACUCUUCUCGAGCCCCACCCC
This 1476-nucleotide long non-coding RNA is filed under the name Nicotiana tabacum (common tobacco). RNAcentral describes it as "long non-coding RNA (NTAB_LNC016075)". The record is from RNAcentral. Lineage: Eukaryota; Viridiplantae; Streptophyta; Magnoliopsida; Solanales; Solanaceae.